This 1442-nucleotide ribosomal RNA is filed under the name Streptococcus thermophilus. Its description in RNAcentral is "bacterial SSU rRNA". It matches the Rfam family "Bacterial small subunit ribosomal RNA". Lineage: Bacteria; Bacillati; Bacillota; Bacilli; Lactobacillales; Streptococcaceae. The record is from RNAcentral.
GCCGUGCUAGUACCUGCAAGUAGAACGCUGAAGAGAGGAGCUUGCUCUUCUUGGAUGAGUUGCGAACGGGUGAGUAACGCGUAGGUAACCUGCCUUGUAGCGGGGGAUAACUAUUGGAAACGAUAGCUAAUACCGCAUAACAAUGGAUGACACAUGUCAUUUAUUUGAAAGGGGCAAUUGCUCCACUACAAGAUGGACCUGCGUUGUAUUAGCUAGUAGGUGAGGUAAUGGCUCACCUAGGCGACGAUACAUAGCCGACCUGAGAGGGUGAUCGGCCACACUGGGACUGAGACACGGCCCAGACUCCUACGGGAGGCAGCAGUAGGGAAUCUUCGGCAAUGGGGGCAACCCUGACCGAGCAACGCCGCGUGAGUGAAGAAGGUUUUCGGAUCGUAAAGCUCUGUUGUAAGUCAAGAACGGGUGUGAGAGUGGAAAGUUCACACUGUGACGGUAGCUUACCAGAAAGGGACGGCUAACUACGUGCCAGCAGCCGCGGUAAUACGUAGGUCCCGAGCGUUGUCCGGAUUUAUUGGGCGUAAAGCGAGCGCAGGCGGUUUGAUAAGUCUGAAGUUAAAGGCUGUGGCUCAACCAUAGUUCGCUUUGGAAACUGUCAAACUUGAGUGCAGAAGGGGAGAGUGGAAUUCCAUGUGUAGCGGUGAAAUGCGUAGAUAUAUGGAGGAACACCGGUGGCGAAAGCGGCUCUCUGGUCUGUAACUGACGCUGAGGCUCGAAAGCGUGGGGAGCGAACAGGAUUAGAUACCCUGGUAGUCCACGCCGUAAACGAUGAGUGGCUAGGUGUUGGAUCCUUUCCGGGAUUCAGUGCCGCAGCUAACGCAUUAAGCACUCCGCCUGGGGAGUACGACCGCAAGGUUGAAACUCAAAGGAAUUGACGGGGGCCCGCACAAGCGGUGGAGCAUGUGGUUUAAUUCGAAGCAACGCGAAGAACCUUACCAGGUCUUGACAUCCCGAUGCUAUUUCUAGAGAUAGAAAGUUACUUCGGUACAUCGGUGACAGGUGGUGCAUGGUUGUCGUCAGCUCGUGUCGUGAGAUGUUGGGUUAAGUCCCGCAACGAGCGCAACCCCUAUUGUUAGUUGCCAUCAUUCAGUUGGGCACUCUAGCGAGACUGCCGGUAAUAAACCGGAGGAAGGUGGGGAUGACGUCAAAUCAUCAUGCCCCUUAUGACCUGGGCUACACACGUGCUACAAUGGUUGGUACAACGAGUUGCGAGUCGGUGACGGCGAGCUAAUCUCUUAAAGCCAAUCUCAGUUCGGAUUGUAGGCUGCAACUCGCCUACAUGAAGUCGGAAUCGCUAGUAAUCGCGGAUCAGCACGCCGCGGUGAAUACGUUCCCGGGCCUUGUACACACCGCCCGUCACACCACGAGAGUUUGUAACACCCGAAGUCGGUGAGGUAACCUUUGGAGCCAGCCGCCUAAGUGACAAG